This 72-nucleotide transfer RNA is filed under the name Ovis aries (sheep). It matches the Rfam family "tRNA". From Rfam's summary of the family: Transfer RNA (tRNA) molecules are approximately 80 nucleotides in length. Their secondary structure includes four short double-helical elements and three loops (D, anti-codon, and T loops). Further hydrogen bonds mediate the characteristic L-shaped molecular structure. tRNAs have two regions of fundamental functional importance: the anti-codon, which is responsible for specific mRNA codon recognition, and the 3' end, to which the tRNAs corresponding amino acid is attached (by aminoacyl-tRNA synthetases). tRNAs cope with the degeneracy of the genetic code in two manners: having more than one tRNA (with a specific anti-codon) for a particular amino acid; and 'wobble' base-pairing, i.e. permitting non-standard base-pairing at the 3rd anti-codon position. The record is from Rfam by way of RNAcentral. Lineage: Eukaryota; Metazoa; Chordata; Mammalia; Artiodactyla; Bovidae.
UUCCUUGUGGCUCAGUGGUAAAGAAUCUGCCUUGCAAUGCAGAGGACACAGGUUUGAUCCCUGGCUGGGGAA